Long non-coding RNA from Centruroides sculpturatus (bark scorpion), 331 nucleotides. RefSeq lists it as uncharacterized. The transcript has 4 exons. The record is from RefSeq and is a predicted model, not a curated record. NCBI's taxonomy places the organism in Eukaryota, Metazoa, Arthropoda, Arachnida, Scorpiones, Buthidae.
CUUGUUUUCACUAAUUUGAACUCGAUGCAGACUUCAAUUCAAGACAUCCGAAGAUUUUCUGAGUUUGAUUUAUCGCUCAAACAGAAACUAAAAAUUUUAAAUUGAAUGAAGAGAUUUGGAAAAGAGUCAUUAUAUAUAUCAGUAAGAGGCUAUUUUAACGUUACAAAAAAUUUUUAGUGAAGAUGGCCAACGCAUUAUAUUCUUCAUUUUCUGGUCUUUUAAACCUCAGGUCGUCGUCUACAUCGUGAAAAUUUUUCCAUUCGGGUACACGUCUUUUAAGCUGCAAAAGAAAUUUAAAGAUUUGAUUCUAUUAAUUUAAAACUUUACGAAA